GACGAACGCUGGCGGCGUGCCUAAUACAUGCAAGUUGAGCGCUGAAGGUUGGUACUUGUACCAACUGGAUGAGCAGCGAACGGGGGAGUAGCGCGUGGGGAAUCUGCCUUUGAGCGGGGGACAACAUUUGGAAACGAGUGCUAAUACCGCAUAAAAACUUUAAAAAAAAGUUUUAAGUUUGAAAGAUGCAAUUGCAUCACUCAAAGAUGAUCCCGCGUUGUAUUAGCUAGUUGGUGAGGUAAAGGCUCACCAAGGCGAUGAUACAUAGCCGACCUGAGAGGGUGAUCGGCCACAUUGGGACUGAGACACGGCCCAAACUCCUACGGGAGGCAGCAGUAGGGAAUCUUCGGCAAUGGACGAAAGUCUGACCGAGCAACGCCGCGUGAGUGAAGAAGGGUUUCGGAUCGUAAAACUCUGUUGGUAGAGAAGAACGUUGGUGAGAGUGGAAAGCUCAUCAAGUGACGGUAACUACCCAGAAAGGGACGGCUAACUACGUG
This 497-nucleotide ribosomal RNA is filed under the name uncultured bacterium. Its description in RNAcentral is "partial 16S ribosomal RNA". It matches the Rfam family "Bacterial small subunit ribosomal RNA", at positions 28 to 507 of the family's 1533-position model. The record is from RNAcentral.